RNAcentral lists this long non-coding RNA (267 nucleotides) under Gossypium barbadense (sea-island cotton). RNAcentral's name for it is "long non-coding RNA (GBAR_LNC000332)". Lineage: Eukaryota; Viridiplantae; Streptophyta; Magnoliopsida; Malvales; Malvaceae. The record is from RNAcentral.
GGGCCACCAAAAUUGGCGUUUCAGGUCAUUGUACAUUUUAGUACUACCUGGGUGGACUGACAUUCGACUACUAUGAGCCUCGUUCAAAAUCAUCGAAAUAAGUUUCGAAUUUCUUGGAACACAUAAUCGACCUCUGAACAUCAAGCAAUCAUUGUCGUCAAUCCGGAACUCCGAUUCCUUAUUCGAAGCACAUUCAGCUCGUUUAGUGACCAAUUCAGCAUCGACUUUCUGGGAUUCAAGUAUUUGACGAAUCAAUAAUGGUUUGGC